Molecule: long non-coding RNA, 2464 nt
Filed under: Cricetulus griseus (Chinese hamster)
Lineage: Eukaryota; Metazoa; Chordata; Mammalia; Rodentia; Cricetidae
Description: lncRNA (ENSCGRG00015010194.2)
Source: RNAcentral
CAAGGAGGGAGGAAAGCCCUCGGUCCCCUCGGCUCGGGGGGCGCCCAGCCCGGCUCAGCUCGGCGGGCGCGCCCCAUCACCCCCCUCCCACGUCCUCUGCGGACAGCUCUGAGGGGGCGCGCGCACCGCAGGGCCUCCUCCGGUCUCUGCGGCUGGCGUCCGUCUGACUGUCCGAGGCUUUGGAACAGAUUAUCGCAGCCCUUUCAGAGCGCGCACAACAAAUGCGCCCGCCAUCGAAUGCAGCAUUUACCACCGCAGAUCCGCGCGCCGAUGGGCAGGCAGAUAGCGUCCGCGGGGGGCUCGCCGGGCGGCGAGUGUGCGCCCCGGCUCUGCCCGGUGUGUUUGGAGGAACACGUGGGUAUGCCAGCGAGUGGACCCUCAGCAAGCAAGAAUGCCUCACUCCACACGGGGUGGACGCAGUAGCCGGCGUUUGAGCCAGUGGCACAGGCUUUUGGAACCCGCACGGAUCUGUGGGGCAGUGUGCACCCAGGACUACCGCGUGUGCCCAGAGAUGCGCGAAAGGAAGGUCCGGUUUCGGGCCUUGCUCGAGCCUCUGUUGUGCAGACUCGGGGUUGGACAUUGGCUGUGAGGAAGAGACCGACCGCUGUGCGCCCGGUCCCGAGAGUGCUGGAGAGUGACACCGGGCCAGCGGCUGUUUGGGGACUUUGAGAAUGCCCAGGGGUCCUGGUCCUGGCCCAGGGGCCCCUCUGCCAAAGCAUUGCAGCUGGGACGACAGAGCCCAGCCCGCCGCCCGAGGUCCCGGCCGUGAGUGACACGCGCCGCCACAAAGGCUGUAUUUUUCCAGGCCCGUGCCCCGCCCGCGCGCGAUGGUCCCCAUGGCGACGCAGAUAGCGCGCGGCCAUUUUCCUAUCUCCCCGGAGUCUAUUAUACAGCGGGAUUAGCUCAUCUCCAGGCAGGUCAAACCCAAAGUCACACAACCUGCGGCGUGAGCCCCGCCUCCGGCCGCUCCUCCUCCUCCGCAGCCGGAGCGGGCUACCCCCGUGGCGCGGCCCGUUCGCGGGUGCAGAGCGCCACCUGGCGGCCGCGAGCACCCGGCGCGCUGCGUGAGAGCCUGCAGGUGCCCAGGGCUGUGGCUUUGUGUGGUGGCUUGGGCGACCCCUAGGGAAAAGCUGGCACACAGUAAGUACCCCCAAACCAUUUGCUGGAGGGAUGAACAGGCAGGUAAGUCGACAGGGGCGGACUUCCAAAGGCCACCGCAUGUUGGCAACUGAAUGAAGAAUAAAAGCCGAUCUCCCUGCAACCCUGGUAGAAGCCUUGCUGGCCCAGGCCCAGUUUCCUUCCUCCUUCCUCCAGGAACCACGGCCUUUGGGUUCUCUGGACAGGAAACCUGUCUCCCUGUGUCUGCUGGUUCUUCCACCCAGAGACAUCAGCUUGUGAUCAAAUGUCACCAUCAGACAGAAGUUGUUCUCCUCUCCCCUAUGCCGCCUCUGCUUGAUAGUCAAUUUCAUAUUAUCUAACGAAUUUUCUAAUAACAAUUCUCAAUAGAAGUCUGUGAUGUUCUGGACAAUGGCGGAGAGGUGGAAUUCUGACUGGCUGGGAUUAUCACAACGUUAAGAACUGGUUGAGGACCAGAGGGGUAAGCCCCAUGGGCCAGGUUGCCCAGCUCUGUCUUCAUGGAACCUAGGAUACUCACUAGCUGUGAGUUACAAGAGUUACUCAGAAGCCACUCCUGCCCUGGGGUCAUCGCCCACCUACCCCAUCUGAAGGGGACUACAGGGCACUGACUCCUCUGCACCCGCAGUGAAGUCCUCCCUCCAGGAUCAUGGACUGUUGCCUUGUGUGUGAGCUUGCCUUUGAAAGCAUUUUGUGAGCCUGGCUUGUCAAGUUGGCAGACAAAUGUCUGCCAGCACUCUGGAGAGGGAUAUCUCAUAUAAAGAAUCUCAUGUCUUGCUUCUUGUGGAACACUUCAAGAUCGGCUACUUUGUGCCUGAGUUCCUGCAGUGGUGAAGGAAUGCUGGAGUUCUGCAGAACCUCCUCUGAGCACCUGAUGCCAGCCCAUCCCCACCCCGGGGGUCAGGGUGUGUCUCUCACCAAGACACUGAGUACUAGUGGUUGUGUUAGUUUUGACUUCCCUUCCAUCACUGGGGCCUUCUGACUUGUUUUCAUGCAAGCAACAUUUAAAGGAGACACACAGCCGUACUAUAAAGGUCCCUGGCUGUUCAUAUUCAACUUUGCCCCACCUACCAAUACAGUGAAGCAGCCAGACCUGACUCAUCAUAUAGAUUAAUAAAUCUUCAGAUUAUGGUAGGAAUUGGGAGGGGAUAUGGUUUCUAAUAUUCAGGCCUUCCUCUAGAAAGUGGGAGCCAUGGAGUAGAAGAAAAGUGGAUGCAGCCACACUGUGUGCAGCAGUUAGAGGCGAGGUAAAAAAAAAAAAAAAAAAAGCAGUAGGCACAGCAAUGGCCACGAGGAGGUCUGAGGAGAAGGCUCUCACAAGAGCUCAGGG